ACAUAUUCUUCUCUGUGCUUUGUGGAUGUUUUCCUCCCACACAGUAAAAAGGUAGCUCACUUAGUGGGUUUGAUGUGGUGGAUGCUGAUAUGAGAUGGCUGUGUCCCCACCCAAAUGUCAUGUUGAAUUGUAGUUCCCAUAAUCCCCACAUGUCGUGGAGGAACCCAGUGGGAGAUAAUUGAAUUGGGGGGAGGUUUCUCACAUCCUGUUCUCCUGAUAGUCAGUGGUGCUUUUUCCCCCUUUUGCUCUGCUCUUCUCCUUGCGGCUGCCAUGUGAAUAAGGAUGUGCUUGCUUCCCCUUCUGCCAUGACUGUAAGUUUCCUGAGGCCUCCCCAGCCAUGCCAAACAGUUAGUUAAUUAGACCUCUUUCUUUAUAAAUUACCCAGUCUUGGGCAUGUCUUUAUUAGCAGCGUGAGAAGUUCUGCACAUGCAUGGCACCGUCUCCUGGGAACACUCUUGGAAAGUCAUGCCUGAUCCCUACAUCUAGAGAACCUGAAGAGAUUGAAAAGGAAGAGCAGGCUGCUGCUGCUGACAAAGCUGUUACCAUGAAGGAAUUUCAGGGUUAUUAGACUCUUCCAGAUUCCAAUUGCACUGCUGCUCAGCCUCGGAUUGCAAACUGGUCUGAAGGUGGCAGGUGCCCUGUAUGCCUGUUUAGCAGGUCCCUACGUAGGACUGGAGCAGAGCACUCAGCCUGCCAUGGACACCUGAUCUGCAGCUCCCACUGCUCUGGCCACUGAAUGGGAAGGAAGAACCACUGAGUAGUUUUAAGCUGUUCUUCCAAAGACUCUUAAGCAACAUGGAAAUAAGUCCCAGUAUGAGCAAGCCUCUACAAUAGAUUCUGGAGAAUAUCAAAGUGGAAAACAAGUGGGCCCUCCUGUUGAAGAGUUCAUUGCCUAGUACAAGGUGUGAAGAUGCCUGGAAGAGAGAGGAACCAGUUCUACCUAGAGCUGGCAUCAAUUGACAUAUCUUUGAUUUUCUCUGUAAAAACAAAGACUGAACUGGCCAAAUUAGCAGCUCAGGGUUAUGCUGAUCUUCCAGGCUGGAGGCCUUGUCCAAGAUAACAUCAUGAACAUUUUCUACCUCCUACAGAACAAUAGUACACUUGCAAUCUGCCAGACAUAUGACUGAAAUGCAGAAACAUUAAAACAAUAAUUAGUAACUCUGAUUUUACUAAUGCCUGGGCAGCUCAAAUUUCUUGACAGUUAUAACCCUAAAAUAUCUACUUGAAC
RNAcentral lists this long non-coding RNA (1228 nucleotides) under Macaca mulatta (Rhesus monkey). RNAcentral's name for it is "lncRNA (ENSMMUG00000063714.1)". The record is from RNAcentral. Lineage: Eukaryota; Metazoa; Chordata; Mammalia; Primates; Cercopithecidae.